This is a transfer RNA of Planctomycetaceae bacterium SCGC AG-212-F19, 72 nucleotides long. It matches the Rfam family "tRNA". From Rfam's summary of the family: Transfer RNA (tRNA) molecules are approximately 80 nucleotides in length. Their secondary structure includes four short double-helical elements and three loops (D, anti-codon, and T loops). Lineage: Bacteria; Pseudomonadati; Planctomycetota; Planctomycetia; Planctomycetales; Planctomycetaceae. The record is from Rfam.
CCCGGGGUGGAGCAGUGGUAGCUCGCCAGGCUCAUAACCUGGAGGUCGCAGGUUCAAAUCCUGCCCCCGGAA